RNAcentral lists this ribosomal RNA (418 nucleotides) under uncultured bacterium. Its description in RNAcentral is "bacterial SSU rRNA". It matches the Rfam family "Bacterial small subunit ribosomal RNA", at positions 917 to 1333 of the family's 1533-position model. The record is from RNAcentral.
GGACCCGCACAAGUAGUGGAGCAUGUGGUUUAAUUCGAAGAUACGCGCAGAACCUUACCAACACUUGACAUGUUCGUCGCGACUUUAAGAGAUUAAAGUUUUCGGUUCGGCCGGACGAAACACAGGUGCUGCAUGGCUGUCGUCAGCUCGUGUCGUGAGAUGUUGGGUUAAGUCCCGCAACGAGCGCAACCCUCACUUUUAGUUGCCAUCAUUAAGUUGGGUACUCUGAAAGAACUGCCAGUGAUAAGCUGGAGGAAGGUGGGGAUGACGUCAAGUCCUCAUGGCCCUUACGUGUUGGGCUACACACGUGCUACAAUGGUAUCUACAACAGGAAGCAAAACCGCGAGGUUAAGCAAAUCCUUAAAAGAUACCUCAGUUCGGAUUGCACUCUGCAACUCGAGUGCAUGAAGCUGGAAUU